This is a long non-coding RNA of Drosophila persimilis, 642 nucleotides long. RefSeq lists it as uncharacterized. The transcript is spliced from 3 exons. The record is from RefSeq and is a predicted model, not a curated record. NCBI's taxonomy places the organism in Eukaryota, Metazoa, Arthropoda, Insecta, Diptera, Drosophilidae.
GCCGGCUUUUUGGGCCAGCAAGCCAGUCCAGUUUGGCCGCUCUUGAUCGGAGUUUUGUGCAGAUCCUCGUGAUGUGUGAGCUUAGGGUGAUUUGGACAGCUCCAAUGCAUCCACAAUCUGCAUCAGCUCAGGCAGUGUGACUGGUCUGAAGGGAAUCCUGGUUUCCUGGUCCGGUUGUAGCUGCUUCUGCCGUUUUGACUGCUCACGCUCUCUAUUGAUUGCGGCCCGCUCUUCAUCUGAAUUGGACAGUAUCGGGCUGAAUCUCUCCUCCAGGAUUGUGAGCCCCUUGUUAAGACGAUUUUGCGCCGCCCUGUAGUUUCGUCUGGCUUCGAUGGUGCGGGUCGCCAGCCAGAUCCUCUUGCACUGCUGUUUGAUGGAGAGCAGCUCGCUUGUAGCCUCGUCCAGCUUGAGGUGAUGGUGCCGGUGAUGUUGCUGUGACCGCUGCUGAUGAUGAUGCUGACGCUGCUGUGGCCAUCUUCGAUGAGUGUUUGGAUGCUGCUGUUGGUGUUGUGUUGUUGCUGCUGCUGCUGCUACCCGUAUAUUGUUCAAAAACAAGUAAACGACGUCAUCAAUGUCCUGCGCUAUCCUAAUCUCGGUGUUGAGAUUGAUCAACCGUUCCAGCGACUUUUGGAACAGGCUGAU